AAUGAACGCUGGCGGCAGGCCUAACACAUGCAAGUCGAGCGGAUGAAGGGAGCUUGCUCCUGGAUUCAGCGGCGGACGGGUGAGUAAUGCCUAGGAAUCUGCCUGCUAGUGGGGGAUAACGUCCGGACACGGGCGCUAAUACCGCAUACGUCCUGAGGGAGAAAGUGGGGGAUCUUCGGACCUCACGCUAUCAGAUGAGCCUAGGUCGGAUUGGCUAGUUGGUGGGGUAAAGGCCUAACAAGGCGACGAUCCGUAACUGGUCUGAGAGGAUGAUCAGUCACACUGGAACUGAGACACGGUCCAGACUCCUAAGGGAGGCAGCAGUGGGGAAUAUUAGACGAUGGGCGAAAGCCUGAUACAGCCAUGCCGAGUGUGUGAAGAAGGUCUUCGGAUUGGAAAGCACUUUAAGUAGGGAGGAAGGACAGUAAGUUAAUACCUUGCGGUUUUGACGUUACCAAAAGAAUAAGCACCGGCUAACUUCGUG
This 484-nucleotide ribosomal RNA is filed under the name uncultured bacterium. Its description in RNAcentral is "partial 16S ribosomal RNA". It matches the Rfam family "Bacterial small subunit ribosomal RNA", at positions 29 to 507 of the family's 1533-position model. The record is from RNAcentral.